RNAcentral lists this long non-coding RNA (1397 nucleotides) under Struthio camelus australis. RNAcentral describes it as "lncRNA (ENSSCUG00000014939.1)". The record is from RNAcentral. Lineage: Eukaryota; Metazoa; Chordata; Aves; Struthioniformes; Struthionidae.
GGGAAGGUGCCAGCGCGGGGGUUUGCACGGCGGGGGGGCGGUGCUCUCUAGGGGCCAGUUUCUCUCGGGCGUCUCCGUGAAGCCUCCGUGAAGAGGCAAACACGAGGGGCUACGUUUACGGGAAGCUUGAAGUCAUAAGGGUGUUCUAGUGGUGAGAGAGUUUGUUUUCUCUAGAAACGCGUUGAAAAAAAAAUCAGCUUACUUUAUGUAAUUCAUCCGAGUAACACUUCCUGCCUCUCCGCCCCGGAGUUGUUCGCCGAAAAGUAGUAUGUAAACAAGAAGUGGACUCUUUUUUUUCCACCCCUGUGUGCCUUGAGCUAGUUUUGCGAGAUGAACACUGUAAACGAAGAAGUUAAGCCAGCAGAUGCUAAACCGGAAUCUGAAAAAUUAUUUCAUUAUUGUGAACAUGGACUUGGAGUAGCAAAAACCUAUUCAAAGUCAACUCAGUUGUUGGGGUGUAUCUCUUUUCCCAUAAACUGAGAACACGAGUCCAGACUGUCAUGUAUCAACGAAAAUAGCAGAGUUAUGGGAAGAGACCGAGAACCUGGAGUAUAAUUUGCUCACAGCUGAAGUGGAUAUCUCACUUGAAAGACUCUGAUGUUGCACUAGGUAAAGAAUAAUAGCUUUUGAAUGUACAGGAAGCAGAGAAUGUGGAUUUUAUCAGUACUCCCUACUCUGUCAAUGUGAAGAUGAAAAAGUGAAAUAGACAUACAGUCAGUCAUCACAAGAAAUGAGCUUUUCAUUUCUUACUCAUCUUUUUUAGCCUGCUCUCUGAAGAAACAAGACUUAAACACACUCUGCUUUGUCAUCUAUUCCCCAGUUACUUUUGAACUUCUUAGCCAUUUUGAACAAGAUUGAUUGCGAGUUCCUGGAUAUAGGCAUUUGCUCAGAGAAGAGAGAUGCCGUUAAUCUGUUGUUGAGGAAGUGUUGCAGGCUGAGCUCACCACUUACUGCAUACAGAAGAAUCAAUAUAGGAUAUAAGAUAUAUAAGAUUCAGGAAAAAGCACUGGUCAGAGUCUGUUUACCAGGAGACCGAGCUUCAUUAGCUGCUGUGGUUGUUUGAUGUUGAUCACAGAAGGUGUUGAUCAGUGCAAAACUUGUCAUUAAAGUGUAUGAAAAUUAUCAGGCAUUCUGUGGUGUUUUGCCUCAGCAGACAGGAACACUGCAUAUAUAUCUUCUGGUUUUGGGAAUACUGGUAGUGGGGCUGCUUGUCAGAAAUUCUGCAAAAGCUUUGAAAAUAUGUAGGUUCCCCCAAAGUGCAGUGGAUUUGAGCACUCUAGAAUUGUAUUUAUACCUUAGCAGCAAUACAUCAAUAGAUUUGUUUGACCAAGGACUGGAGAUUUUAGUGGAAACCUUUUUUUAAUAAAUUACUUUGUAUUUCUUUUUCUUCUUAGAAA